RNAcentral lists this ribosomal RNA (488 nucleotides) under uncultured bacterium. RNAcentral describes it as "bacterial SSU rRNA". It matches the Rfam family "Bacterial small subunit ribosomal RNA", at positions 28 to 510 of the family's 1533-position model. The record is from RNAcentral.
GAUGAACGCUAGCGGCAGGCCUAAUACAUGCAAGUCGAACGGAUAUAUGUUUUUCGGAAUAUAUAUUAGUGGCGCACGGGUGAAUAACACGUACAUAACUUGCCCUCAAGCGGGGGAUAGCCUUGGGAAACUGAGAGUAAUACCCCCAUAGAAUUAUUGGACGGCAUCGUUUGAUAAUUAAAACUACGGUGCUUGGGGAUAGAUGUGCGUCUGAUUAGCUAGUUGGUGAGGUAACUGCUCACCAAGGCGACGAUCAGUAGGGGGCGUGAGAGCCGUGGCCCCCCACACGGGUACUGAGACACGGACCCGACUCCUACGGGAGGCAGCAGUAAGGAAUAUUGGUCAAUGGAGGGAACUCUGAACCAGCCAUGCCGCGUGAAGGAUGACGGCCCUCUGGGUUGUAAACUUCUUUUGGUAUGGGGCGAAAAAACGGGAUUUAUCCUGGACUGACGGUACCAUCAGAAUAAGCACCGGCUAACUCCGUGCCA